UUGAUACGCACGCGAGAACUCGCGAUUAGUCUAACGCGUCAGAACAAGCGGGAUGAGAGUUCUGGCGAUUGAGUAAAAAGAGUGUAUCUCAGGAAUAAAACGCAUCAGAACCCGUUGCUAUCAAAUCAUCAUGAAACUUGAUACAGAUAUAGUAUGAGAUAAAAUAUGUAAUAAUUAGAGUAUGUAAAUAUUUAGUAGUGUAGUAAAAUAUAUAAUAAAAGAGUAGUAUAAUAAAAUAUGAAGAAAUCUAAUCAAAAUCGAAUCGCUAAAUAAGUCGAUCCAAAAUCAGAAAACGGACUUGCCACUCAUACAAUCUUAUUUUGGCAAUAAAAUAGCAUUGUUCGUAAAUUCGACUCCUCAUAAAUCGCACUGUAACUUUGCCAUCUAUAUGAAUGGAAAGUGUGUCUAGUUCAUACACUUUGAUAAAAUGAAUGAUUAGUGAUUGGCAAGAUUUUAUCCAUUUUCUUCGAUUUUGUCGAUGUCCAUUUUUGCAUAAUUCUCAUAGGCUUGGAGAGCGAAGAAAAUAUGAAGAUACUGAAAACUUCGAAGUGAUCGAUCUCUGAAGAAAACUUUUUGGUGCAACAGAAGAUCGAUAAUGGGAAUGUGAUGAAUCAAUUAUAGUAAUUGAAUGAAGAUUAUCUCGCACAUAUUUAGUCUGCCAAUCGCCAAAGGUUAUUUAGUAGAUCAUUCGCGAACAAUGGUAUUCUAUUUCCAAAGUGAGAUUGUAUGAGUGACAAAUGGGCACUGCCGUCACAUGACUCAGCAUACUCAUUUUCUGGUUUUUGACCAGGAUCUUCUCUUUUAACCUUUUGAUUUUGGUUAGAUUUCUUCAUAUUUUACCUUGUAUGUACAUACUAUAUCUGUAUCAAGCUUCAUGGCGAUUAGUUUUGUACUACAAAAUUUUUCUAAUUUUGCUUCUUCAUCGCAGGUGUACCUUAAAAGAUCAGGAACGAAACGCAUCAGAAUCCAUUGCUAUCAAAUUUCAUUCGCGAUGCGUUUGCGCGAGGUCAUAAAAUUAAUUUCGAACAAAUAAAUUUAUUGACGAGUUUCCAUGGUUACUUCCGUGAUAAUAUCCUAAGAAACAUGAACGAUAUGCUGGAAAAGAUCGGAAAGUUUGUAAUCAUCCAAGGCUCGUAAUUACUCGCUCGAGCGACUCGGCGAGCGGAGAAAGCGGCACGAAGACGACAGACGCGACAGCGCUCGGCUGCUCGGCCGCUUGCAACAACAUUCCUUUGUUAGAAACCAAUUCCUUAGCCAAUAACGCCCGUCCGCGUCUGAGUCAUAAUGCGAUCUGAGUCGAUGACUCAAGCGCCGAGACCGCCAGCAAUGUCCUGCGGACGGAGAGGAUGCGGUAUUCAAACUUGCGGAUCCGAUUGUCACGCCGGAUCCACUAGGGUCUCUCGAGGCGGUCGCUUUUUACUCGAUAUCCUAAAUCGGAUAUGUACAACCAGGCAUCGUUCAGGCCUGGUUUUUCCGGGAAGGACACGUCUCAGUUCCCAGCCACGACUUACCUGCUCUGCGAACAAUCGUAGAGAAACGUAAAAUAAGGCGAUGCCCUAAACGAGAAUUCCUAAGCGAGAAUUUGCCUAAACGAAAUCACGAUAUUGUGAGAGAAAGAUCUCGAAUCGACAGAGUAGUGCUCGUUAACAGUUUGCGUUUCUAGAAUUUUUAUUAAUUAAAAUAGACGCGCUCGCUCGCUCGAGACGAAACGAGACUUAGAGACUUGCAUAUAUUUUUCGGGGGAGGGAGUUUUGCGUAUAUAUUUUGGAGAUAAGAUACGUGUCGGCAUGGUAAUAACUGAUCACCUCGCGAAAAGAAAGCCAUCGGACGCGCGGCACCUGCACGCGUUUGCCGUUCUCCCCUCGGCAACUCAAAUAUUUCCGGCUCACCUUGCGACCGAGAACGCGCCGCUUGAGCGAACGGUGCAUCGCCCAGCUGGCGACUUUAAGAACAGAUUUUUUUGUUCCCCCGUCACAUCCCCUGCAAUCCGCAAUCAGUACAUUAUCGCAUCACUCGAUCGACUGAUCCAAUGGCGACAACGAAUAAUAUCUUUUCUCUAUUUAUUUUCCCUUUUUUUUCCCCCCAAAAAUAUCAUUGAAACUACUUUCUGAGUACAACUGAAAAGAGAUUGAAAUAUUUCGGUAAAAAAUAUUUUAUUCGAGAUUUCUUCGAGAGAUUACCGUUAUUAUGAAACAAAUUAUGAACGCUAAUUAUGAACACUAAUGAGCAAAAUGAACAAAAUGAAGAAAUGAUUAGCGCUCGGUGUAAAUGCUACGUCGAACGGUACUCGUGAGAAUACCGUCGAGGUUGAACGAGCUUUAAUAUCGAUGUGUUAUAUCGUAUGUGAUGUAGUACAUACAAUACAAAUAUCUCGUUUCUCUCAUCGUUCCUUAUUCUUAAUCGUAAACAUUUGCGUUCUGUACAUUAACGUAUUUUCCACGAAGAAAAGCGGUAUCUUAUAGUUAUCGUAUGUAAAUUCUAUCUGUACAAUAAAUUCUCAUUUAAACAG
This is a long non-coding RNA of Pogonomyrmex barbatus (red harvester ant), 2509 nucleotides long. Lineage: Eukaryota; Metazoa; Arthropoda; Insecta; Hymenoptera; Formicidae. The record is from RefSeq and is a predicted model, not a curated record.